GACGGCAUCUAACUGGCAGUUGACUGUUGAUCCGUCGUAUCGAAUCGAAUCACAGCCAAACUGUUGGUUAGGUUCAGUU
Molecule: microRNA precursor, 79 nt
Filed under: Ascaris suum (pig roundworm)
Lineage: Eukaryota; Metazoa; Nematoda; Chromadorea; Rhabditida; Ascarididae
Description: microRNA asu-mir-250 precursor
Gene: asu-mir-250
Source: miRBase by way of RNAcentral